GAUGAAGAACGCAGCGAAAUGCGAUAAGUAGUGUGAAUUGCAGAAUUCAGUGAAUCAUCGAAUCUUUGAACGCACAUUGCGCCCCUCGGUAUUCCGUGGGGCACGCCUGUUCGAGCGUCAUUUACACCCUCAAGCGCAGCUUGGUGUUGGGCGUCUGUCCCGCUCUCCGUAGCGCGGACUCGCCUCAAAGUCAUUGGCGGCGGUCGUGCCGGCUCCUCGCGCAGCACAUUUGCGCUUCUCGGAGGCCCGGUGGAUCGGCAUCCAGCAAGCUACUUUUUAUGACUUGACCUCGGAUCAGGUGAGGAUACCCGCUGAACUUAAGCAUAUCAAUAAGCGGAGGA
RNAcentral lists this unclassified non-coding RNA (341 nucleotides) under soil metagenome. RNAcentral describes it as "partial contains 5.8S ribosomal RNA, internal transcribed spacer 2, and large subunit ribosomal RNA". The stretch from base 1 to 120 matches the Rfam family "5.8S ribosomal RNA", at positions 35 to 154 of the family's 154-position model. The record is from RNAcentral.